This is a long non-coding RNA of Monopterus albus (swamp eel), 292 nucleotides long. RefSeq lists it as uncharacterized. The record is from RefSeq and is a predicted model, not a curated record. NCBI's taxonomy places the organism in Eukaryota, Metazoa, Chordata, Actinopteri, Synbranchiformes, Synbranchidae. The transcript has 3 exons.
AAUAGGUUAUUAUUAUUUCGGAGGCUUGCAAACAGCUCUGAGUUUACUGAGCUACGUUUUGAGGAGCAACGCACUGCAGGGUAACAGGCUAAUUGUCCCUGCAGACCAUGAGCGGUGUUGGAGAUUGUACCUCCUCCCUCCUCCCUCUACUGAUGCUGAGCAGAUCUGAGUGGCUGUUCAGUCGUAAAAACGAUGAGAGGGAGAUGGAGUUCCCCUGGCAGCGUCUCCCAGUGAUGAAUGGGUGCCAAGGGAAAACAAACGUCACGUUUUAUUGGCAAAAUAAACAGGAAUG